UUGUUGACCAGGACGUCGAUGGGCCCGGCCGCCUCGAACGCGGCGGUGAUGGUCCGGGGCUCGGUCACGUCGAGCUCGACGAC
Molecule: transfer RNA, 83 nt
Filed under: Streptomyces galilaeus
Lineage: Bacteria; Bacillati; Actinomycetota; Actinomycetes; Kitasatosporales; Streptomycetaceae
Description: tRNA-Ser
Source: RNAcentral